UUCCGUGCGGCGUGCCGGCGGAUCACGUGCGCUCGCACCGCCGAAAGUCCCCGCAGAGGUAGCUUACGCAUCGGUCCGAGUGAGCGGAUUCCGUGGCGCGGUUAUUUUUUGGCGGUUAUUUUUCAUUUCAACGCCCCGUUUGUUGUUAACUUUUUUUUCUUUUAUUUUUUUUUUUACCAUAAUAUUAUUGUUCUGAUAAUCGUGUCCGACACCGUUUCCGCGUCCGUUCCGUAUUCUUACGAUCGGGUUUCCGGCCCGUCGCGCCCACCGUCGUACAUCCCAAUCGCUGUUAAACGUCUCGGAUCCCGGUUCAUCCUUAUCUUGACAUUCGUUUUUGACGGUUGACAGUUCAAGCAACGUUAGCGUAAAUCCAUCGGCGUGAAAUACGAACGAGUUCGAGACAACAUCACGGCGGACGCGCACUGAAAACGCGUUACAGAUCGCUCCGGCCACUGGUAUAAUUGAACGCUCUUUGUUGUGAACAAGAAAUGUGUCAGCCGUCAAGCGAGAAACGAACGGCAGCGACGGCAAUUCGAUCACCACCGAGGACUAACCGAUAACCUGGGUUAAUGGUCAAUCAUCGCGACAAACGGCACGAAGACCGUACCGGAAAGUAGUUGAAAAAGCAAAACGGAAAGAAAUCAACGAAAAUAAGAAAAAUAUAACAGUUGAUUUUGUAGUAAACGUCAGUAGCGAAAACAACGACGACAUGGAAACCGUGACCGUGGCCGAAGAAGAGAUGACUACUCAGAAAUACACGAACGUAACAGAACAGUACAUGGCCGAAGAAAUAAACUCGUUCUAUUUCUACGAAACCGUACAGUUCACAGUGCUAUGGAUAUUGUUCCUGUCGAUCGUGCUGGGCAACGGAGCCGUGCUGGUGGCCUUAUCGUUCAACAAAGCUCGCAAGAACCGCAUGAACUUUUUCAUCAUGCACCUUGCGCUGGCCGAUUUGUUGGUGGGACUGGUGAGCGUGAUGAUCGACAUGAUAUGGAGAACGACCGUUACCUGGUCAGCCGGACCGAUUGCUUGCAAAGUCGUCAAAUACUUACAGGUGGUCGUCACGUAUUCGUCUACGUACGUGCUGGUCGCGUUAAGCAUCGACAGAUAUGACGCAAUCACACACCCGAUGAACUUUUCCAGCAGCUGGCGCAGAGCCAGAGCGUUGAUCGGCUGCGCAUGGAUAUUGAGUUUCGUGCUCGCCGUGCCCAGUGUGUUUAUUAACGAAGAGACGGUAAUACAAGGUCGCACGCAGUGCUGGAUCGAACUUUUGCCGUGGCAAUGGAAACUGUACAUAAGCAUAGUGGCGACGACGGUGUUCGUGGUGCCGGCGAUCAUCAUCAGCGGAUGUUACACGAUAAUCGUUUACACGAUUUGGUCGAAGAGCAAACUCCUGUCGCCGGCCAAAAGCAACGCGGUACAGCGAGGCACCAAAAAGCCCGAAGAGCACGACAUCAGGAGAUCCAGUUCUAGGGGCAUCAUACCGAAAGCGAAAAUCAAAACGGUGAAAAUGACGUUUGUCAUAGUGUUCGUGUUCAUCCUGUGCUGGAGCCCGUACAUCGUUUUCGACCUGCUGCAGGUGUACGGUUACAUACCGAAAACGCAGUCGAACGUUGCGCUCGCCACGUUCAUACAGAGCCUGGCGCCGCUGAACUCCGCCGCCAACCCGAUCAUUUACUGCCUGUUCUCCACGCACAUUUGCCGAUCUCUCAGGUAGAAGUUGCAAUGCACGUAUUUACCGCCGUCGGCCGCCGCCGGUUUCGCGCACGGAAAACCGCCACCGCGCAGAGACAAGUCCCACCAUUCAAAUGGUUAAGGUGUUGCAGAAACGGAACACAGGAGCAACUGAGCUACACAGAAACACUAACAUCGUCCA
This 1876-nucleotide unclassified non-coding RNA is filed under the name Sipha flava (yellow sugarcane aphid). RNAcentral describes it as "cardioacceleratory peptide receptor, transcript variant X5". Lineage: Eukaryota; Metazoa; Arthropoda; Insecta; Hemiptera; Aphididae. The record is from RNAcentral.